Molecule: ribosomal RNA, 1493 nt
Filed under: Campylobacter jejuni
Lineage: Bacteria; Pseudomonadati; Campylobacterota; Epsilonproteobacteria; Campylobacterales; Campylobacteraceae
Description: partial 23S ribosomal RNA
Rfam family: Bacterial large subunit ribosomal RNA
Source: RNAcentral
AGGUAAGCUACUAAGAGCGAAUGGUGGAUGCCUUGACUGGUAAAGGCGAUGAAGGACGUACUAGACUGCGAUAAGCUACGGGGAGCUGUCAAGAAGCUUUGAUCCGUAGAUUUCCGAAUGGGGCAACCCAAUGUAUAGAGAUAUACAUUACCUAUAUAGGAGCGAACGAGGGGAAUUGAAACAUCUUAGUACUCUCAGGAAAAGAAAUCAAUAGAGAUUGCGUCAGUAGCGGCGAGCGAAAGCGCAAGAGGGCAAACCCAGUGCUUGCACUGGGGGUUGUAGGACUGCAAUGUGCAAGAGGUAAGUUUAGCAGAACAUUCUGGAAAGUAUAACCAUAGAGGGUGAUAGUCCCGUAUGCGAAAAACAAACCUUAGCUAGCAGUAUCCUGAGUAGGGCGGGACACGAGGAAUCCUGUCUGAAUCCGGGUCGACCACGAUCCAACCCUAAAUACUAAUACCAGAUCGAUAGUGCACAAGUACCGUGAGGGAAAGGUGAAAAGAACUGAGGUGAUCAGAGUGAAAUAGAACCUGAAACCAUUUGCUUACAAUCAUUCAGAGCCCUAUGUAGCAAUACAGGGUGAUGGACUGCCUUUUGCAUAAUGAGCCUGCGAGUUGUGGUGUCUGGCAAGGUUAAGCAAACGCGAAGCCGUAGCGAAAGCGAGUCUGAAUAGGGCGCUUAGUCAGAUGCUGCAGACCCGAAACGAAGUGAUCUAUCCAUGAGCAAGUUGAAGCUAGUGUAAGAACUAGUGGAGGACUGAACCCAUAGGCGUUGAAAAGCCCCGGGAUGACUUGUGGAUAGGGGUGAAAGGCCAAUCAAACUUCGUGAUAGCUGGUUCUCUCCGAAAUAUAUUUAGGUAUAGCGUUGUGUCGUAAUAUAAGGGGGUAGAGCACUGAAUGGGCUAGGGCAUACACCAAUGUACCAAACCCUAUCAAACUCCGAAUACCUUAUAUGUAAUCACAGCAGUCAGGCGGCGAGUGAUAAAAUCCGUCGUCAAGAGGGAAACAACCCAGACUACCAGCUAAGGUCCCUAAAUCUUACUUAAGUGGAAAACGAUGUGAAGUUACUUAAACAACCAGGAGGUUGGCUUAGAAGCAGCCAUCCUUUAAAGAAAGCGUAAUAGCUCACUGGUCUAGUGAUUUUGCGCGGAAAAUAUAACGGGGCUAAAGUAAGUACCGAAGCUGUAGACUUAGUUUACUAAGUGGUAGGAGAGCGUUCUAUUUGCGUCGAAGGUAUACCGGUAAGGAGUGCUGGAGCGAAUAGAAGUGAGCAUGCAGGCAUGAGUAGCGAUAAUUAAUGUGAGAAUCAUUAACGCCGUAAACCCAAGGUUUCCUACGCGAUGCUCGUCAUCGUAGGGUUAGUCGGGUCCUAAGUCGAGUCCGAAAGGGGUAGACGAUGGCAAAUUGGUUAAUAUUCCAAUACCAACAUUAGUGUGCGAUGGAAGGACGCUUAGGGCUAAGGGGGCUAGCGGAUGGAAGUGCUAGUCUAAGGUCGUA